CCUACGGGAGGCAGCAGUGAGGAAUAUUGGUCAAUGGACGAGAGUCUGAACCAGCCAAGUAGCGUGAAGGAUGACUGCCCUAUGGGUUGUAAACUUCUUUUAUAAAGGAAUAAAACGAGGCACGUGUGCCUUUUUGCAUGUACUUUAUUACUAAGGAUCUGCUAACUCCGUGCCAGCAGCCGCGGUAAUACUGCAGAUCCGAGCGUUAUCCGGAUUUAUUUGGUGUAAAGGGAGCGUAGAUGGGUUGUUAAGUCAGUUGUGAAAGUUUGCGGCUCAACCGUAAAAUUGCAAUUGAUACUGGCAGUCUUGAGUACAGUGGAGGUAGGCGGAAUUCGUGGUGUAGCGGUGAAAUGCUUAGAUAUCACGAAGAACCCCGAUUGCGAAGGCAGCUUACUAAACUGUGACUGACAUUGAUGCUCGAAAGUGUGGGUAUCAAACAGGAUUAGAUACCCUGGUAGUC
This 460-nucleotide ribosomal RNA is filed under the name uncultured bacterium. RNAcentral describes it as "partial 16S ribosomal RNA". It matches the Rfam family "Bacterial small subunit ribosomal RNA", at positions 338 to 795 of the family's 1533-position model. The record is from RNAcentral.